This 253-nucleotide ribosomal RNA is filed under the name uncultured bacterium. RNAcentral's name for it is "partial 16S ribosomal RNA". It matches the Rfam family "Bacterial small subunit ribosomal RNA", at positions 524 to 776 of the family's 1533-position model. The record is from RNAcentral.
UACGUAGGAGGCAAGCGUUGUCCGGAGUUACUGGGCGUAAAGCGCACGCAGGCGGUUCAGUCAGUCUGUAGGGACAGGGCACAGCUCAACUGUGUCAGGCUUACGGAAACUGCUGAACUUGAGGGCUUCAGAGGGACACGGAAUUCCGGGUGGAGUGGUGAAAUGCGUAGAGAUCCGGAGGAACACCAAAGGCGAAGGCAGUGUCCUGGGGAGUACCUGACGCUCAGGUGCGAAAGCCAGGGGAGCGAACGGG